This is a small nucleolar RNA of Nannospalax galili (Upper Galilee mountains blind mole rat), 172 nucleotides long. RefSeq annotates it as small nucleolar RNA SNORA23. Lineage: Eukaryota; Metazoa; Chordata; Mammalia; Rodentia; Spalacidae. The transcript has a single exon. The record is from RefSeq and is a predicted model, not a curated record.
GAGGCAAGGAGAUCAUUAUGAGUUUGAGGCCAGACUGAGCUACAGAAUAAGAUCCUGUCUCCACCACACAAACAUCAUGCAACCGAAGAAUAACUUGGGAUCAUAGUACUGGUCUAGUGUUGUGUGUCUGGGCAGAUUUCCCACUGACCAGCCUCCAAAUUCCCAGCCAUUA